GGCUGAGAGCCAGUGCCCAGGAGACCCACUGCUUUAGCAUCUGCUUGAAAACCACGGCAACCCAGCUUCCGUGAAGGAGAGCAGGAUUACCCGCUACCCACCAUCUCACAUGCAGACCGGUGGCUAGCCUCGCUUCUGAAUGCACCUCUAACAGGAGAUACUCACUGGGCUCCGUCGCAGAAGACUGCUGUCAUUAUUUUAUUAUGACUGGACUAUAGAAGGCCUUACCUCAAAGGGGCCAGAGAGGGUGCCUGAAAUGUUCCAAAUACUCACCAGGCAGAAGCACUUAAGCAAGAAGGACCUGAGCCAAGGGCGUGUCCGCGUGUGGCCUUGGCCGGAGACUGGAUGCAGGCACGGAAGCCGGUGGGACGUCCUCAGGACAUUGAAGUCGUGGUGAACACUUGAUCACUUCCGGCCCAUGAGAUGCUGCUGCUUCUCCUGCAGCCUUGCCUCGCUGGGCCUCCUGUCCCGGGGCCUGCCUGGGGCCUGAGCAGCCCACGCCAGCGCCAGCUGUGAUGGCCGUUACCUGCCUCCCUGCCAACAGCAGCCACGACCCAGGGCCAGGCAACUCCAAGCCAGGAAGAGCAGUUCAAAUUGGCAUCAACUUCAUGGAGAGUAAUUCGGCAAUGCAGAGUCAGCCCAUCAUUUACCUAUUUGCUCCCGUGUAAAACCAAGAUCAAGGCAAGGAUGCCCACUGUCCCUACUUUCACCAACAUUUUGCUAGAGGUUUUGGUGGGCGGCCC
Mustela erminea (ermine) is the source of this 743-nucleotide long non-coding RNA. RefSeq lists it as uncharacterized. The transcript is spliced from 5 exons. NCBI's taxonomy places the organism in Eukaryota, Metazoa, Chordata, Mammalia, Carnivora, Mustelidae. The record is from RefSeq and is a predicted model, not a curated record.